Molecule: long non-coding RNA, 634 nt
Filed under: Linum usitatissimum (flax)
Lineage: Eukaryota; Viridiplantae; Streptophyta; Magnoliopsida; Malpighiales; Linaceae
Description: long non-coding RNA (LUSI_LNC007317)
Source: RNAcentral
UCCUUCAAAUCAACAUAACCAAAACAAGGAAAUUAACAUAAACUUAGCAAUGACUUUCAUAAACAACAACAAUAAUUCAAUAAUGAGCUCAUCAACAACAGCAAUCCAGCAGCAGCAGUGCAACAAUAAUAGUGGCAGUCCAGCAAUAGUGCCAGUCCAGCAACAGCAGUUUCAGUUAAUUAAACCAUGAAAUAUUUACCUUCUUGAUUGACGAAUGCAGUAACAAACACAAAUGGCCCGAAAGACCAAAAACGAGGAACCUGCAUGUACGAUUCACAAACUGUGAAUGUUUUUUAUUUCAACGAUAUUGAUUGACGGAGAUUAUAAAAUCGGCAAAUUUAAAGGCUUCCUUCAACACUAACCUAAUGAUAGAUGAAAAGAUGGAGAUGAGAACUUGAAUCCACCUUAAGAUGUGUCUCCCCUUUUAUAGUCAAUCACUGAUAUGAAGAAGUUGUGAAUUGAAAGCUGGAAAUCGGAAUUGAAGCCAAAUUCAUGGAGCAAGCCUUUGAGAUUGGAAUCGUUGAUUGAAGGGAAUUAAUUAAGCCAUGGAAGAGUGGAAUUGACGGGGUUUAGAUGGGGAAGAAUGAAAUCACCGUUGAAGAGCUUUUAUGAGAUAGGUAUGAGAAUGGUAACG